GAUGAACGCUGGCGGCGUGCUUAACACAUGCAAGUCGAACGGAAAGGCUCCUGCUUGCAGGGGUACUCGAGUGGCGAACGGGUGAGUAACACGUGGGUGAUCUGCCCUGCACUUCGGGAUAAGCCUUGGAAACUGGGUCUAAUACCGGAUAGGACGAUGGUUUGGAUGCCAUUGUGGAAAGUUUUUUCGGUGUGGGAUGAGCUCGCGGCCUAUCAGCUUGUUGGUGGGGUAAUGGCCUACCAAGGCGUCGACGGGUAGCCGGCCUGAGAGGGUGUACGGCCACAUUGGGACUGAGAUACGGCCCAGACUCCUACGGGAGGCAGCAGUGGGGAAUAUUGCACAAUGGGCGCAAGCCUGAUGCAGCGACGCCGCGUGGGGGAUGACGGCCUUCGGGUUGUAAACUACUUUCGCUAGGGACGAAGCGCAAGUGACGGUACCUGGAGAAGAAGCACCGGCUAACUACGUG
Molecule: ribosomal RNA, 466 nt
Filed under: uncultured bacterium
Lineage: Bacteria
Description: partial 16S ribosomal RNA
Rfam family: Bacterial small subunit ribosomal RNA
Source: RNAcentral